AUUGUCUUCUCCCCCAAGGAAAGAAGGACACGCCCUUAUGCACGCAGCAUUUUUCUGUGUGUGAAAGAGGGGCUGGAAAGGCAGCGCACAAAAAUCACAUUCUUGUCCCGCUGCAGAAUGCACUGCCCGGGGCGCUCUCUCCUCGGCGGCGCCGGCUGGCUCAGCAGAAAGCUGCGGGGAAGCUGGCGGAGAGCUUAGUCACGGCCUUUCGAACCCUCCUCCACUGCUUCCAAGUUCAAAGGAGAGAAGAAACGAGAGAAACGAGGCCUCCCAGACCUUCACAGGGAGACACCCUGCCAGAGCAGCACCAACCAUCUCCCAAGCAGCCCCCCAUUCCCAUCUUCAUCAUUGAAGAAGUACAACAAUAGGAUGGACACUACUUUGAAGCACCUGCUGUGUGCAACCUCAGUGCCAAGUGCCCUCGUACCUGCCCUGGAGCCCUCCCGGCCGCCUGACCACGUGGAUACUGUUAGCCCUCCUUAGAGACAAGAGAGCCGAGUCUCAGAGACACAGAUUAACUUGCCAGAGAGCACACGAGGAGAGAAUGGAGGAGCUGGAAGGGGCCCCACCCCUGCUGCCCCCCGUCCUUUCAAGACACCAUCCAGCCUCAGGAAUUCAAAAGAAAAGGGACCGUACUCCAGUUACUCCUGGAAGCGCACACACGCAGGGAGUCCCCAGCCUGUUCCCCACACACGACCCGAUGUCCUCACCUGUCUCCCCUACCUCUUCUUUUUCCACCUUCUGUCACAUCUUUCUUCACCCCUACCACGUGGCACCAGUGUUGACUGAGGCACCUGACUGCACACUAAGGAUUGAAUUUUCCAGUUGACGCUGGUCCAAGGGUCUGGGUGGGGAGUGGCUGCUUAAAUGGGUACAGAAUUCCUUUUGGGGGGAAUGCAUUCGCUCUGGAGCUAGAGACAGACGGUGGGGCCACAACAUUGGGAAUGUGCGAAAUGCCACCGGAUUGUUCACCUUAAAAUGAUUAAUUUUAGGUGAUGGGAAUUUCACCUGAGUAAAUUAAAAAGGUUUGGGAAAUGUCCAACAAAGGAACUCCAUGGCUGAUUGUUUAAAAAUAUUUUAAUGUUUAUUUAUUUUUGAGAGACAGAGUGCGAGUGGGGGAGGCACAGACAGAGGGAGACACAGAAUCUGAAGCAGGCUCCAGGCUCUGAGCUGUCAGCACGGGGCCUGAUGCGGGGCUCAAACUCAUGAACCGUGAGAUCGUGACCUGAGCAAAAGUCGGACCCUCGACCGACUGAGCCACCCAGGCGCCCCGUGGCUGAUUGUUUUUAAUACUGUCCCAGCCUAAAAGCGCAUCAUGCCUCCUUCUUUGCUGAAAGCACGCUCUCAUCAGAUGUGUCCAGGCAGCAGGGAACAGUUCCCUGAGACCCCUGUGGUGUGGGCAGGUUGUUAGGUGAGUCACAAUGGGACAGAGUUUCGGAUGCCCUGCCCUCUCUCCCAUCUCAGCAUCUCCCAUGCCUACACAUCCUGUUCACACUAAAGUUGAGGCAAGACAGGAUAUCCAGAGACUUGGAGGUCAGGCUUACCAAAAAGUGACUCAGUGAAAUGGAUUCUCAGUGCACCUGUCCCUCAGAGACUAUGACUUCUCGUUGUGGCACUUCUAGAAAACCAAUGACAGACAGAACUGCCCGCCUACGUCCUGGAACACCCUCCCCAGGACGCAUGAUGAGGCAGCUUCCUAAUUGCUGGGUGGCCUCUGAAUGCUGUGACCCUCUGAGACAUGUCACCUGGCAGGUUCUCCAAGAGGUGCUGCCUGUCCCACAGGCCACAGGCUGCAAGAGGCCACGGAAGGAGCAGGACCAGCCUGGCCACAGGGAGACAGAGCAUGAGUGGGAGAGGGGCAAAGAGAGAUGAAGACACAGAAUCUGAAGCAGGCUCCAGGCUCCAAGCUGUCAGCACAGAGCCUGAGAUGGGACUCGAACCCACGAACCAUGAGAUCAUGACCUGAGCCAAAGUCGGAUGCUUAACCGACUGAGCCACCCAGGCGCCCCUGCCUCUAUGUAUUUUCUGAUUUUGUCUUUAAUUUCUUGGUUGACCCAGCUGUGAGCCUUCUUGACGAGAGAAAGAUACCAAGAGCAAAAAGCAGCUGAACUUUCCCAACAGAGGUGUCCAGACAAAUCCCUGAACACACACGUUCACAGCAGCAUGACAAUAACCAGAGGCGGAAGCAUCUCCAGUGGCCAUCAGUGGAUGAGUGGAUAAACAAAUUGUGGCAGAUUCCUACCAUGGAAUAUUACUCAGGCGUAAAAAGGACUAAAGCGCUGACACCUGUAAGAUGUUAAUAACCACCCCCCUGAAACAUUAUACUCUGUGAAAGAAGCCAGACACAAAGGACCCAAUAUUGCAUGAUUCCAAUUAGAUGAACUAUCUAGAAGAGUAAAUUCAUAGAGACAGGAAGCACUUUGGUGGUUUCGAGCAUUACGGAGAGGGGUGUAGGGGAAUAGGGCUUGAUUGCUUAGUGGGUAUGAGGUUCCCAUGAUGAAAAUGUUAUGGAACUAGUUAGAAGUGAUGGUUGUACAACACUGCAAAUUGACUAAAUGCCACUAUACACUUUAAAAUGGUCAAUUAAAAAUUAUUUA
Molecule: long non-coding RNA, 2597 nt
Organism: Neofelis nebulosa (Clouded leopard)
Lineage: Eukaryota; Metazoa; Chordata; Mammalia; Carnivora; Felidae
Exons: 3
Source: RefSeq, a predicted model, not a curated record